UCAGGCCUGAUGUCUAGUUUAUUGCUUUUAUGUCAUGGGAAAAGUCAAAUAUCUUUGACUGUAUUAUUGCAUGUCUCCAUAUAGCCUUC
Etheostoma spectabile (orangethroat darter) is the source of this 89-nucleotide long non-coding RNA. RefSeq lists it as uncharacterized. NCBI's taxonomy places the organism in Eukaryota, Metazoa, Chordata, Actinopteri, Perciformes, Percidae. The record is from RefSeq and is a predicted model, not a curated record. The transcript is spliced from 3 exons.